UUGCCUUAGUAACGGCGAGUGAAGCGGCAAUAGCUCAAAUUUGAAAUCUGGCUCUUUCAGAGUCCGAGUUGUAAUUUGUAGAAGAUGCUUCGGCUUACGUACUGGUCUAAGUUCCUUGGAACAGGACGUCACAGAGGGUGAGAAUCCCGUUUGUGGCCGGUACUUCCGCUAUGUGAAGCUCCUUCGACGAGUCGAGUUGUUUGGGAAUGCAGCUCUAAAUGGGAGGUAAAUUUCUUCUAAAGCUAAAUAUUGGCCAGAGACCGAUAGCGCACAAGUAGAGUGAUCGAAAGAUGAAAAGCACUUUGGAAAGAGAGUUAAAAAGUACGUGAAAUUGUUGAAAGGGAAGCGCUUGCGACCAGACUUGCCUUUAGUUGCUCCGCCGGUCCUUCGACCGGUGUAUUCUUCUAUUGUCAGGCCAGCAUCAGUUUGGGUGGUUGGAUAAAGACUUUGGGAAUGUGACUCUCUUCGGGGAGUGUUAUAGCCCUUUGUGCAAUACAGCCUACCUAGACUGAGGACCGCGCUUCGGCUAGGAUGCUGGCGUAAUGGUCGUAAGCGGCCCGUCUUGAAACACGGACCAAGGAGUCUAACAUCUAUGCGAGUGUUUGGGUGUCAAACCCGUGCGCGAAAUGAAAGUGAACGGAGGUGGGAACCUUUUUGGGUGCACCAUCGACCGAUCCUGAUGUCUUCGGAUGGAUUUGAGUAAGAGCAUAGCUGUUGGGACCCGAAAGAUGGUGAACUAUGCCUGAAUAGGGUGAAGCCAGAGGAAACUCUGGUGGAGGCUCGCAGCGGUUCUGACGUGCAAAUCGAUCGUCAAAUUUGGGUAUAGGGGCGAAAGACUAAUCGAACCAUCUCGCGGUGGGUGCAUUAUUAUACGCAAUAUGGCUAUUGCUUUUGCUUAUUUUUGCUACUAGGUGGUUAAGAGGCGACUAAAAGUGCUCGCCUAGUCCCUCC
Molecule: ribosomal RNA, 951 nt
Filed under: Helicoma nematosporum
Lineage: Eukaryota; Fungi; Ascomycota; Dothideomycetes; Tubeufiales; Tubeufiaceae
Description: LSU rRNA
Rfam family: Eukaryotic large subunit ribosomal RNA
Source: RNAcentral